This 253-nucleotide ribosomal RNA is filed under the name uncultured bacterium. Its description in RNAcentral is "partial 16S ribosomal RNA". It matches the Rfam family "Bacterial small subunit ribosomal RNA", at positions 524 to 776 of the family's 1533-position model. The record is from RNAcentral.
UACGUAGGAUUCGAGCGUUAUCCGGAUUUAUUGGGCUUAAAGGGUGCGUAGGUGGUUUAAUAAGUCAGUGGUGAAAGCCCGCAGCUUAACUGCGGAACUGCCAUUGAUACUGUUAGUCUUGAGUACAGUUGAGGUGGGCGGAAUGUGUCAUGUAGCGGUGAAAUGCUUAGAUAUGACACAGAACACCGAUUGCGAAGGCAGCUCACUAAGCUGUAACUGACACUGAGGCACGAAAGUGUGGGUAGCAAACAGG